This 630-nucleotide ribosomal RNA is filed under the name uncultured marine bacterium. RNAcentral describes it as "bacterial SSU rRNA". It matches the Rfam family "Bacterial small subunit ribosomal RNA", at positions 8 to 621 of the family's 1533-position model. The record is from RNAcentral.
AGAGUUUGAUCCUGGCUCAGGACGAACGCUGGCGGCGUGCCUAAUACAUGCAAGUCGAGCGGACGGAUGGGAGCUUGCUCCCUGAAGUCAGCGGCGGACGGGUGAGUAACACGUGGGCAACCUGCCUGUAAGACUGGGAUAACUCCGGGAAACCGGGGCUAAUACCGGAUAACUCUUUUCCUCACAUGAGGAAAAGCUGAAAGAUGGUUUCGGCUAUCACUUACAGAUGGGCCCGCGGCGCAUUAGCUAGUUGGUGAGGUAACGGCUCACCAAGGCCACGAUGCGUAGCCGACCUGAGAGGGUGAUCGGCCACACUGGGACUGAGACACGGCCCAGACUCCUACGGGAGGCAGCAGUAGGGAAUCUUCAGCAAUGGACGAAAGUCUGACGGAGCAACGCCGCGUGAGUGAUGAAGGUUUUCGGAUCGUAAAACUCUGUUGUCAGGGAAGAACAAGUACCGGAGUAACUGCCGGUACCUUGACGGUACCUGACCAGAAAGCCACGGCUAACUACGUGCCAGCAGCCGCGGUAAUACGUAGGUGGCAAGCGUUGUCCGGAAUUAUUGGGCGUAAAGCGCGCGCAGGCGGUUCCUUAAAUCUGAUGUGAAAGCCCCCGGCUCAACCGGGGAGG